RNAcentral lists this ribosomal RNA (1124 nucleotides) under uncultured organism. Its description in RNAcentral is "bacterial SSU rRNA". It matches the Rfam family "Bacterial small subunit ribosomal RNA", at positions 309 to 1458 of the family's 1533-position model. The record is from RNAcentral.
CACAAUGGAACUGAAACACGGUCCAUACACCUACGGGUGGCAGCAGUAGGGAAUAUUGGUAAUGUGCGAAAGCGCGAACCAACAACGCCGCGUGUGCGAAGACGGACUUCCGGGUUGUAAAGCACUUUUCGGGAGGAAGAGGAAGGACUGUACUCCCGGAAUAAGGUCUCGCCUAACUACGUGCCAGCAGACGCGGUAAUACCGUAGGAGGCAAACGUAAUCCGGAUUUACUGGGCGUAAAGCGCGUGCAGGCUGUUCAAUAAGUUGGGCGUGAAAGCUCCCGGCUCAACUGGGAGAGGUCGUUCAAUACUGUUGGACUAGAGGAUGGUAGAGGAAGGUGGAAUUCCGGGUGUAGUGGUGAAAUGCGCAGAUAUCCGGAGGAACACCAGUGGCGAAAGCGGCCUUCUGGACCAUUCCUGACGCUCAGACGCGAAAGCUAGGGUAGCGAACGGGAUUAGAGACCCCGGUAGUCCUAGCUGUAAACGAUGUGAACUUGGCGUCGGUGGGAUUAAAUCCAUCGGUGUCGUAGCUAACGCGAUAAGUUCACCGCCUGAGGACUACGGCCGCAAGGUUAAAACUCAAAGGAAUUGACGGGGACCCGCACAAGCAGCGGAGCGUGUGGUUUAAUUCGUUGCUACACGAAGAACCUUACCUGGGUUUGACAUAUAGGUUGUAGGGAACUGAAAAGGGACCGACCCUUCGGGGAGCCUAUACAGGUGUUGCAUGGCUGUCGUCAGCUCGUGUCGUGUGAUGUUCGGUUAAGUCCGCUAACGAGCGCAACCCUCGCCGUAUGUUAUACGUGUCAUACGGGACUGCCGGUAAUAAGCCGGAGGAAGGUGGGGAUGAUGUCAAGUCAGCAUGACCUUUAUAUCCAGGGCUACACACACGCUACAAUGGUCUGUACAAUGGGUAGCCAAGCCGCGAGGCGGAGCCAAUCCUGAAAGCAGGCCUCAGUUCAGAUUGCAGUCUGCAACCCGACUGCAUGAAGCCGGAGUUGCUAGUAACCGCAGGUCAGCAAUACUGCGGUGAAUACGUUCCCGGGUCUUGUACACACCGCCCGUCACGUCAUGGAAGCUGGCAACGCCUGAAGUCGGUAUCCUAACCCUCACGGGAAGGAGCCGCCU